AAAUUUUUGCAGGGCUCCGUAAUUGAAUGGCUAAGAUCAAGUGUAGUAUCUGUUCUUAUCAGCUUAACAUCUGGUACAUCACCUAUAUGGUGGUUCAUAUGUUAAACUAUUUUUUUCAAAUUUGGUGGAGAAUAGGAGCUUGCUCCUGCUCCACCGUGGGUUGGCCUGGAGUUGCACUAGGUACAUAUAAAUAUUU
Molecule: small nuclear RNA, 196 nt
Organism: Metopolophium dirhodum (rose-grain aphid)
Lineage: Eukaryota; Metazoa; Arthropoda; Insecta; Hemiptera; Aphididae
Product: U2 spliceosomal RNA
Exons: 1
Source: RefSeq, a predicted model, not a curated record